This 494-nucleotide ribosomal RNA is filed under the name uncultured bacterium. Its description in RNAcentral is "partial 16S ribosomal RNA". It matches the Rfam family "Bacterial small subunit ribosomal RNA", at positions 28 to 507 of the family's 1533-position model. The record is from RNAcentral.
GACGAACGCUGGCGGCGUGCUUAACACAUGCAAGUCGAACGGAAAGGCCUGCUUUCCCUUGUGGAUUGCGGGUACUCGAGUGGCGAACGGGUGAGUAACACGUGAGUGAUCUGCCCCCAACUUGGGUAUAAGCCUGGGAAACUGGGUCUAAUUCCCGAUAGGACUGCAGGGUGGUGCCUGUGGUGGAAAACGAUUUUCUAGUGGUUGGGGAUGAGCUCGCGGCCUAUCAGCUUGUUGGUGGGGUAAUGGCCUACCAAGGCGGCGACGGGUAGCCGGCCUGAGAGGGUGGACGGCCACAGUGGGACUGAGAUACGGCCCAGACUCCUACGGGAGGCAGCAGUGGGGAAUAUUGCACAAUGGGCGGAAGCCUGAUGCAGCGACGCCGCGUGGGGGAUGACGGCCUUCGGGUUGUAAACUCCUUUCGGCCGCGAGGAAGCCACCUGGUUGGAAGGGUGGUGACGGUAGUGGUAGAAGAAGCACCGGCUAACUACGUG